This is a long non-coding RNA of Cottoperca gobio, 1799 nucleotides long. RefSeq lists it as uncharacterized. The transcript has 3 exons. The record is from RefSeq and is a predicted model, not a curated record. NCBI's taxonomy places the organism in Eukaryota, Metazoa, Chordata, Actinopteri, Perciformes, Bovichtidae.
GGGCUAUUUAAAAGAUUAAAUGUCCUGUCCAUGUGAAUUGGUUAUGUUCAUCUGCGGCUUUACAACUCCUAUUAAUUACUGUAACACUUCCAAAAACACCACUACUGCUGUUUUAGCUGCUAAUGUAGCGUUUUAUAAAGAAGCUAACCUUCCAACGGAUAAUAACGGCUUUGUGAAGGACGGUUAGCUGCUAGCUAGCUACUCUGAUAGACCGUUAACAGUUAACGCUACUCACUAUCGUGUCGAAACCCACUCAUGUCACACUACACAACCACCAUUGCGACUCUUUCCAAAGGAUUUACCAUCUGCUAAAAUGCCGGGGUUCAUUGCUUCAACAAGUCCAGCAGGAUGGCUCUGAACUCCUCAUCCUCACACAGAUCUUACAAUGAGAAGGAUGAAGCACAAAACAACCACGCUGCAGCAUGAAGAGGCUGCCAUCCAUCCGAGUCUCUCAGGUCCAUGCGAGCUCCCCCCUCCAGCAGCAGCUCUGCAGCCUGCACGUAUCCACUUGCUGCUGCGAUGUGGAGCUGCGAUGACAGAGGAGGAACAAUGAUUACAUUUUUCCUAUAGUUCCUAUAGAAAUGCUCUGCACAUAAAAUCCAGCGUGGAUUUCACCCGUAAGCCACAAUUUAGAAGCCAGAGAAUAAUGUACUAGUACUAACAUGCUGACCAUACAGGACCUCACAAUACACCUGCAAAAAUGUAAUCAUUCAAACACCUUCAUCACGAAUGUUACGCUACAUUAGGUCGAUGGCAUUGUAAACAAAGCUCUGCCAUCAUUUCAAACUGAUGGGGUUCGGGCAAACCGAUCCAGAUGGCCUGAGACGACUCGCUCUGCUCUGCAGGUCAGAAAUCUAUUCUAUCAGGAUAUUAAGUCUAGUCUUCACCUACUUGUACCUCUCUGAACCACCGGUACUGUCGGUACUAACUUGUGUCAAACAGCGAAACAUUGUUCAAACCCAGUUAUUUACUUUACAUUCUAGCAAAGAUACCACAGUUUCCAGAGACACCAAAUAUGUCGAGCGCCAUUAGUUAGUUAGAAAAUAGAGAAAUCCAUCACACAGCUGCAGGUGACCUCUUGACCAGCAGUCCAACACUCAAAGAUAUUCAAUUUACUCUCAUAGAAGAAAUCAUCAUUAAAUAUUCACAUUUGAAUGAAGGCUGAGGCUUUUUGCUUGAAAAUAAAAAAAGGACUUGAUUAUUAAAACUGCUGCCGAUAAAUAUUGUAGCGACUAAGUGAUUAACCAACUGAUUAUUUCAGCUCUACAUCAUCUGCAUCAGGGAGGAAGCCUGAUGAUUUCUCAUGCAGUGUUAUUUGGUUUCUAUGGCAAUAACCUUACACACCACUCAAACGCUGACUGGAAUAAAUACAUCUCGAACAGAACUGAGCAACUGAUGGCGACGUGAGCUUAUACACACUCAAGUGUUUCUGAAGAGAGAAAGAAAUGCACACAACAUAAGAUCCGACAUUAUUAAUCUUCAUGCGGAAUUAGGAUUGUACCGGAACACAGCCCCGGGCACUACGGGGGCUCACACACACCCACACACACAAGCUUCUUCUAAAGAAUAUAAUUAAGUAACAACUCACUGAAAUAAAUCAAAAGCGACUAGGAAUGUAAAAAAGCCAAGAGAAGCCAAGACUUAAAAGACAAAUGAAUUGGAAAUAAAAAGGUAAUUACAGGCAGCAUUUUCUUUGUUUUUACAAACUACGGCAAUUUUAGUACAAGAUGUUCUUUCUCUGAUUCCUAGAAAGCAGGAAAGGGAGUACACUGCUUCAUGUUUAAAGAAUUGCAACAAUU